GAUGAACGCUGGCGGCGUGCCUAAUACAUGCAAGUCGAGCGAAAAGACGCGGCGCUUGCUUCGUUGACGUUAGGGGCGGACGGGAGAGUCACGCGUGGAUACCCCACCUAUAUGUCGGGGAAAACUACGGGAAACCGGCGCUAAUACCGUAUAAUCUUUUGAACCGCGUGGUUCGAUGGUAAAAGACGGCGUUGCUGUCACUAAUAGCUGCAUCUGCGCUGGAUUAGCUAGUUGGUACGGUAACGGCUUACCAAGGCAACGAUGCGUAGACGACCGGAGAGGGUGAUCGGCCACACUAGAAGUGAGACGCGGACCAGACUCCUACGGGAGGCAGCAGUAGGGAAUCUGCCGCAAUGGGCGAAAGCCUGGCGGAGCAACGGCGCGUGUGUUAUGAAGGUCUUCGGUGCGUGAAACUCGCUUAUUAGGGAAGAACAGAUUUGGAAGUAACUGUGGCGUUCGUGACGGUACCUAAUCAGGAAGCCACGGCUAACUACGUG
Molecule: ribosomal RNA, 497 nt
Filed under: uncultured bacterium
Lineage: Bacteria
Description: partial 16S ribosomal RNA
Rfam family: Bacterial small subunit ribosomal RNA
Source: RNAcentral